Molecule: transfer RNA, 72 nt
Filed under: Pelodiscus sinensis (Chinese soft-shelled turtle)
Lineage: Eukaryota; Metazoa; Chordata; Testudines; Trionychidae
Rfam family: tRNA
About the family: Transfer RNA (tRNA) molecules are approximately 80 nucleotides in length. Their secondary structure includes four short double-helical elements and three loops (D, anti-codon, and T loops).
Source: Rfam by way of RNAcentral
GGGGGUGUAGCUCAGUGGCAGAGUGUUUGACUGCGGAUCAAGUAGUCCUUGGUUCAAGUUCAAGUGCCCCCU